Molecule: ribosomal RNA, 484 nt
Filed under: uncultured bacterium
Lineage: Bacteria
Description: partial 16S ribosomal RNA
Rfam family: Bacterial small subunit ribosomal RNA
Source: RNAcentral
AUUGAACGCUGGCGGCAUGCUUUACACAUGCAAGUCGAACGGCAGCGCGGGCUUCGGCCUGGCGGCCAGUGGCGAACGGGUGAGUAAUGCAUCGGAACGCGCCCAGUAGUGGGGGAUAGCCCGGCGAAAGCCGGAUUAAUACCGCAUACGACCUGAGGGUGAAAGCGGGGGACCGAAAGGCCUCGCGCUAUUGGAGCGGCCGAUGUCGGAUUAGCUAGUUGGUGGGGUAAAGGCUUACCAAGGCGACGAUCCGUAGCUGGUCUGAGAGGACGACCAGCCACACUGGGACUGAGACACGGCCCAGACUCCUACGGGAGGCAGCAGUGGGGAAUUUUGGACAAUGGGGGCAACCCUGAUCCAGCCAUGCCGCGUGCGGGAAGAAGGCCUUCGGGUUGUAAACCGCUUUUGUUCGGGAAGAAAUCCUCUGGGCUAAUACCCCGGGGGGAUGACGGUACCGGAAGAAUAAGCACCGGCUAACUACGUG